This 270-nucleotide unclassified non-coding RNA is filed under the name uncultured fungus. Its description in RNAcentral is "partial contains 5.8S ribosomal RNA, internal transcribed spacer 2, and large subunit ribosomal RNA". The stretch from base 1 to 52 matches the Rfam family "5.8S ribosomal RNA", at positions 103 to 154 of the family's 154-position model. Lineage: Eukaryota; Fungi. The record is from RNAcentral.
AACGCACAUUGCGCCCUUUGGUAUUCCGAAGGGCAUGCCUGUUCGAGCGUCAUUAUCAACCCUCAAGCCCGGCUUGUUUGUUGGACCCCGCACCGAUCUUCAACCAUCGGUGGGUCCGAAAGAUAAUGGCAGAGUCGGUCAGACCCUGGAUGCAGCGAGCUUUAUUUUCAGCACGCAUCACGGUGGUCCUCCGGGCUCGGUCUUAACCGGAUAUUCAAUCCACUUCUUAUGGUUGACCUCGGAUCAGGUAGGGAUACCCGCUGAACUUAA